This 201-nucleotide unclassified non-coding RNA is filed under the name plant metagenome. RNAcentral describes it as "partial contains small subunit ribosomal RNA, internal transcribed spacer 1, and 5.8S ribosomal RNA". The record is from RNAcentral.
UCUCCGUUGGUGAACCAGCGGAGGGGACAUUAUCGAGUUUAUAACUCCCAAACCCUAUGUGAACUUACCACUUGUUGCUUCGGCGCGCGCUUCGGUGCCGCCGAGGACACUUAAACUCUUUGUUUUUAUAAGCAUUUCUGAGUGGCCGAAAGGCAAAAUACAAAUGAAUCAAAACUUUCAACAACGGAUCUCUUGGUUCUG